GUGCUCACUUUGGGAGCAUAUAUACUAAAAUUGGAAUAAUACAAAGCAGAUUAGCUUGACCCCACAGAAGGAUAACACAAAUUUGUUAAGCAUUCCCCAUUUUU
This is a small nuclear RNA of Pteronotus mesoamericanus, 104 nucleotides long. NCBI's taxonomy places the organism in Eukaryota, Metazoa, Chordata, Mammalia, Chiroptera, Mormoopidae. The record is from RefSeq and is a predicted model, not a curated record.